UGGGUGAUUGCGGUCAUGCUACAAUGAGCUUUGGUAAACAAUAUAAUCAUUAUCGUUCCUGUUUAAUUUGGCAAGUCUAUUUGUGCUAUACGGGAGUCCAUUUCCCCUAUAUGGAAUGGGAUAAGCUUUUGGCCCAACCAAGCUAGUUCAAGUUGGUGCAAGUUUCUAGCUGGGCCUGGGCUCAAUCUCUAGUUGGGCUAAAACCAAGAUUGAAAAGAAUCUUUAGAUCUAAGCCUGGCUUGAAGCUUUAUAAAUUUUGGACCAAACUAGACUAGGGUGGACAUGGCCUAUACUUGCCCUGGUGGAUUCCAAGCCGAUAUCAGUAGCUAAUUUGUAAGUCCAUGAUCUUUCCACAAAUCAAUCAUAGAAUCAUGAAUAAGUCUUGAUUAAUUUAAGGAUUUCCUGAGUUGUUCGGUAGAUGGAAAAAAGGUCCGUGAUGCCAUGUGAGAUGCUAGGCAAUUAUUGAGUUGGCCCACAAGUAUAAAGGAAUAAGUUGUUUUGACAUUGAACAUAUUUUUUCAGAAAAAAAAUUAUAGAACAAAACAAGGAUAAGACCCCUUCGCCUGCCCAGAUUUCUCCAGUUGGCUUGGCGACUUUCCCGUAUGAGUUUCUUUUUUUCAAAAAAUAAAAUCUGGUUGAGAUCUCUUCCUUUAAUUCUUGUUGCAAGUGGAUUAGAUUGAUCGAUUUCUGAUUUAGAACUGGUCCGAAACUACUCCAUUCCAAACCCACACCGAAGUUAUUGGGACAAGAUUUGGAUUCAC
This 761-nucleotide long non-coding RNA is filed under the name Elaeis guineensis (African oil palm). RNAcentral describes it as "long non-coding RNA (EGUI_LNC032116)". The record is from RNAcentral. Lineage: Eukaryota; Viridiplantae; Streptophyta; Magnoliopsida; Arecales; Arecaceae.